Molecule: transfer RNA, 22 nt
Filed under: Lionepha disjuncta
Lineage: Eukaryota; Metazoa; Arthropoda; Insecta; Coleoptera; Carabidae
Description: partial tRNA-Leu
Source: RNAcentral
UAUUCUUUUGUUAGAAUAAAUA